GUCUCGGGGGCAAUGGCAAGAGGGAAACGCCUGGUUACAUUCCGAACCCAGAAGCUAAGCCUCUUAGCGCUGAUGGUACUGCAGGGGGGACCCUGUGGGAGAGUAAGACGCCCCCGGGCU
This 120-nucleotide ribosomal RNA is filed under the name Tropheryma whipplei. The record is from RNAcentral. RNAcentral also lists the same sequence under 2 other names. Lineage: Bacteria; Bacillati; Actinomycetota; Actinomycetes; Micrococcales; Tropherymataceae.